AGAGUUUGAUCCUGGCUCAGGACGAACGCUGGCGGCGUGCCUAAUACAUGCAAGUCGAGCGGACAGAUGGGAGCUUGCUCCCUGAUGUUAGCGGCGGACGGGUGAGUAACACGUGGGUAACCUGCCUGUAAGACUGGGAUAACUCCGGGAAACCGGGGCUAAUACCGGAUGGUUGUUUGAACCGCAUGGUUCAAACAUAAAAGGUGGCUUCGGCUACCACUUACAGAUGGACCCGCGGCGCAUUAGCUAGUUGGUGAGGUAACGGCUCACCAAGGCGACGAUGCGUAGCCGACCUGAGAGGGUGAUCGGCCACACUGGGACUGAGACACGGCCCAGACUCCUACGGGAGGCAGCAGUAGGGAAUCUUCCGCAAUGGACGAAAGUCUGACGGAGCAACGCCGCGUGAGUGAUGAAGGUUUUCGGAUCGUAAAGCUCUGUUGUUAGGGAAGAACAAGUACCGUUCGAAUAGGGCGGUACCUUGACGGUACCUAACCAGAAAGCCACGGUUAACUACGUGCCAGCAGCCGCGGUAAUACGUAGGUGGCAAGCGUUGUCCGGAAUUAUUGGGCGUAAAGGGCUCGCAGGCGGUUUCUUAAGUCUGAUGUGAAAGCCCCCGGCUCAACCGGGGAGGGUCAUUGGAAACUGGGGAACUUGAGUGCAGAAGAGGAGAGUGGGAUUCCACGUGUAGCGGUGAAAUGCGUAGAGAUGUGGAGGAACACCAGUGGCGAAGGCGACUCUCUGGUCUGUAACUGACGCUGAGGAGCGAAAGCGUGGGGAGCGAACAGGAUUAGAUACCCUGGUAGUCCACGCCGUAAACGAUGAGUGCUAAGUGUUAGGGGGUUUCCGCCCCUUAGUGCUGCAGCUAACGCAUUAAGCACUCCGCCUGGGGAGUACGGUCGCAAGACUGAAACUCAAAGGAAUUGACGGGGGCCCGCACAAGCGGUGGAGCAUGUGGUUUAAUUCGAAACAACGCGAAGAACCUUACCAGGUCUUGACAUUCUCUGACAAUCCUAGAGAUAGGACGUCCCCUUCGGGGGCAGAGUGACAGGUGGUGCAUGGUUGUCGUCAGCUCGUGUCGUGAGAUGUUGGGUUAAGUCCCGCAACGAGCGCAACCCUUGAUCUUAGUUGCCAGCAUUCAGUUGGGCACUCUAAGGUGACUGCCGGUGACAAACCGGAGGAAGGUGGGGAUGACGUCAAAUCAUCAUGCCCCUUAUGACCUGGGCUACACACGUGCUACAAUGGACAGAACAAAGGGCAGCGAAACCGCGAGGUUAAGCCAAUCCCACAAAUCUGUUCUCAGUUCGGAUCGCAGUCUGCAACUCGACUGCGUGAAGCUGGAAUCGCUAGUAAUCGCGGAUCAGCAUGCCGCGGUGAAUACGUUCCCGGGCCUUGUACACACCGCCCGUCACACCACGAGAGUUUGUAACACCCGAAGUCGGUGAGGUAACCUUUUAGGAGCCAGCCGCCGAAGGUGGGACAGAUGAUUGGGGUGAAGUCGGAACAAGGUA
RNAcentral lists this ribosomal RNA (1508 nucleotides) under metagenome. RNAcentral describes it as "bacterial SSU rRNA". It matches the Rfam family "Bacterial small subunit ribosomal RNA". The record is from RNAcentral.